Molecule: long non-coding RNA, 963 nt
Filed under: Linum usitatissimum (flax)
Lineage: Eukaryota; Viridiplantae; Streptophyta; Magnoliopsida; Malpighiales; Linaceae
Description: long non-coding RNA (LUSI_LNC005869)
Source: RNAcentral
AAAGUCUCUCCGCUGCUACCAAACCACCUUCACCCGCUGCACCUGAAGAUCUCGAUUCUCUUCUGCAAUCACAGCAAGUAGUUGAUAUGCUCUUCUCUUCUCCAUAAAUUAUUACUUCAUUUUUUCUUCUUCUCCACCUAACUUGUUACUCAAGUAGCAUGAUUUGUUGCAAAUCAGAAAAUCGAUGGGUAUCUAAUCAACUUUAACUGCGAAAAAGCCAAUCCGGAUUCCAACUCGGGAAGAAGACCCCCCGUCAAGCCAAUAUGCAUCUCUCAUUGGCUCCUUGGCGAGGAUCCAUCCUCUCCACCUACAAACCUUUUGACCUCCACUUCAUAUCGAUCCACCUCCAACCCUCUUCAAUGAUAGCGCUUUCAGUUCUUGAUCGCUCUCGUUUUGAUUGGUGGUUGUUUCUAUUUCUCUGACCUGGGUGUUCAUGUCCGAUUUAGGUUCUGUUUCAAUUUCUCCGAUAUGGGUUCUUUUUCGAUUACCGGAAUCUCAUCUGGGACCUCCAAGCUUUGAUUGAGAUAAGAUUGCAGUUCUGGCAGGAGUUGCAGUUCUGGAAUCUCAUCUGGGACCUCCAAUCUCAAUUCUGGCAUGCCACGCGUUUUUUAAGCUUAGAUAGUUCGUGCUAUUGUUAAAAUUCAUAAAAUUUCAUGUAUAAAUGUGUAAUUAAGUUAUUGUUUGUGCCUAUUCAAAAUUUUAAAAGUGAAGAAGUAAGGAUUGCAGCCUUGCAGGCAUUGGCGGAGCUACAUGAGGAUAUAGGGCUGCAUUCGGCCCACUUGGCAAAUGAAAAAAAAAAGUCACUUAUAUAUAGCUGGUAGGCUUGGCAACGGGGAGGUUCGGGGAUGGUUAUGGUAUACCCAUUACUCAUCCACCUUCGUGACAGUUAUUAAUCAUAACCAUCACCAUUUCUGUUUCAGUGAUAGAUUUCGUUCCAUCCCCAUACCCACCCGGUUACGGUUA